RNAcentral lists this ribosomal RNA (254 nucleotides) under uncultured archaeon. RNAcentral describes it as "partial 16S ribosomal RNA". It matches the Rfam family "Archaeal small subunit ribosomal RNA", at positions 324 to 582 of the family's 1478-position model. The record is from RNAcentral.
UACGGGGCGCAGCAGGCGCGAAAACUUUACAAUGCGGGAAACCGUGAUAAGGGAACUCCGAGUGCCCGUAAAAUCGGGCUGUCCAUCUGUUUAAAUAACAGGUGAAGAAAGGGCCGGGCAAGACCGGUGCCAGCCGCCGCGGUAAUACCGGCGGCUCGAGUGGUGGCCACUAUUACUGGGCUUAAAGCGUUCGUAGCUGGUUUGUUAAGUCUCUGGGGAAAUCUACCGGCUUAACCGGAAGGCGUCUCAGGGAU